CCCGAGCGCNGCUACCAUGCAGUCGACGAACCUUUCGGGGUGAGUGGCGGACGGGUGAGUAACGCGUGAGGAUCUGCCCUUAGGCGGGGGACAACUUUUGGAAACGGAAGCUAAUACCCCAUAUGUCGAGAGAUGAAAGCUUAAUGUGCCUGAGGAAGAGCUCGCGUCUGAUUAGCUAGUUGGUGGGGUAAGGGCUUACCAAGGCGACGAUCAGUAGCUGUUCUGAGAGGAAGAUCAGCCACACUAGGACUGAGACACGGCCCAGACUCCUACGGGAGGCAGCAGUGGGGAAUUUUCCGCAAUGGGCGCAAGCCUGACGGAGCAACGCCGCGUGAGGGAGGAAUGUCUGUGGAUUGUAAACCUCUUUUCUCUGUGAAGAAGAUCUGACGGUAGCAGAGGAAUCAGCAUCGGCUAACUCCGUGCCAGCAGCCGCGGUAAGACGGAGAAUGCAAGCGUUAUCCGGAAUUAUUGGGCGUAAAGCGUCCGUAGGCGGUUAAAUAAGUCAGUUGUUAAAGACUGCAGCUCAACUGUGGGAGAGCAACUGAAACUGUUUGACUAGAGUAUGGUAGGGGUAGAGGGAAUUCCUAGUGUAGCGGUGAAAUGCGUAGAUAUUAGGAAGAACACCAGUGGCGAAGGCGCUCUACUGGGCCAAGACUGACGCUGAUGGACGAAAGCUAGGGGAGCGAAAGGGAUUAGAUACCCCUGUAGUCCUAGCUGUAAACGAUGGAUACUAGGUGUUGUGCGUAUCGACCCGUGCAGUACCGCAGCAAACGCGUUAAGUAUCCCGCCUGGGGAGUACGCACGCAAGUGUGAAACUCAAAGGAAUUGACGGGGGCCCGCACAAGCGG
This 848-nucleotide ribosomal RNA is filed under the name uncultured marine bacterium. RNAcentral describes it as "bacterial SSU rRNA". It matches the Rfam family "Bacterial small subunit ribosomal RNA", at positions 61 to 932 of the family's 1533-position model. The record is from RNAcentral.